Molecule: non-coding RNA, 195 nt
Organism: Nylanderia fulva
Lineage: Eukaryota; Metazoa; Arthropoda; Insecta; Hymenoptera; Formicidae
Source: RefSeq, a predicted model, not a curated record
CCGAUAUGAAGGUGUUCGUAGUUACGCUCGUGCUGGCACUCGCUGCCACCGCAUACGGUGGUUACAUAAGCAGCGGCGGCGGCGGCGGAUUCGGCGGCGGUGGUUAUGGAGGCGGAAGCAGCGGAUGGAAGUUCGGCGGCGGUGGCGGUGGUUACGGCGGCGGCGGCGGUGGUGGCGGAAAAAUCAUCAAGGUGA